CUGGUACGUCGCGCGGUUGCCAUCCCGCUGCUGGUGCUGGCGGUGGUUGCCGUGGUGCUACCCGCGGUGUUGGCC
Molecule: transfer RNA, 75 nt
Filed under: Mycobacterium heckeshornense
Lineage: Bacteria; Bacillati; Actinomycetota; Actinomycetes; Mycobacteriales; Mycobacteriaceae
Description: tRNA-Thr
Source: RNAcentral